Molecule: ribosomal RNA, 253 nt
Filed under: uncultured bacterium
Lineage: Bacteria
Description: partial 16S ribosomal RNA
Rfam family: Bacterial small subunit ribosomal RNA
Source: RNAcentral
UACGUAGGGGGCAAGCGUUGUCCGGAAUCAUUGGGCGUAAAGAGCGUGUAGGCGGCCCGAUAAGUCCGCUGUGAAAGUCCAGGGCUCAACCCUGGAAUGCCGGUGGAUACUGUCGGGCUCGAAUCCGGAAGAGGUGAGUGGAAUUCCUGGUGUAACGGUGAAAUGCGCAGAUAUCGGGAGGAACACCAAUGGCGAAGGCAGCUCACUGGGACGGUAUUGACGCUGAGACGCGAAAGCGUGGGGAGCAAACAGG